Long non-coding RNA from Acinonyx jubatus (cheetah), 3587 nucleotides. RefSeq lists it as uncharacterized. The record is from RefSeq and is a predicted model, not a curated record. The transcript is spliced from 3 exons. NCBI's taxonomy places the organism in Eukaryota, Metazoa, Chordata, Mammalia, Carnivora, Felidae.
CAUGCUUAUCAUUACAGGUGAGAAACAGGUCGGAAGAUGGGAAACAGGCAGCCCUAUUUUCCUGCUUCCUCCUCAGGUCAGGCUUCAUGCUCUCCAGUCUUUCCCUCCACUCUUGCCUUCUCCUAAUACAUUCUACACACAGUCCCCUUCAGGGGUCACCAGUCCCCAAAAUUACAAUGUGGCCUUUACUGCCAUGCCCUUGUAUUUGUUGGGUACCUACUUGGCACAUCCUCUCUCACUCCUUCAGCUAACCAGUUUGUACUCCUUCUGGUGGUGCCUGCUUUCUAGAAACCUUCUUCGUAAUGUUUGAGGGCCUUUCCCUUUGGCCUCCCACCAUGUCUUGGGUAUGUAUGUGAAGCCAGGUGCCAGCAGGCAGGUGUUCAGGAAAUGCCUGCUGACUAAAGGAAAGGCAGACAGGAAGUGGGGCUAAGCACCCAAUCUAACACCAGCACAAUACUUGGCAAGUGCCUGGUGAUAAGUAAUGGUUUCCCAUAUGUAAAGCUUUGUGUGUGAGAGGGAAAAAAAAAAAAGAGUGAGAGAACCCUAGUAGGGACCCUCACUAUUUUGCCCAGCCCAGCACUGGCACAUGGAAUGGUAGGCAAAGGCUGUCUAAUCAUCAGGUAAUCGGAAGGGUCAGAGCAUUGCCUCUCCAAGGAGGGUGGCAAAAUGAGGCCCUAGAGAAUCCAAGAGGGGCCCCACUGCCACCCAACUUCCAGAGGACUGAUGAUACUUUUUUUUUUUUUUUUUAGUUAGUUAGUGUAUGUAUGUAUGUAUGUAUUGAUUGAGUGACAGAGCACAGGUGAGAUAGGGACACAGAGAAGGGGGAGAAAGAAACCCAAGUAGGUCUGCACCGUCAGCGCAGAGCCAGACACAGGGACACGAACUCACGAACCCGGAGAUCAGGACCUAGGCUGAGAUCAAGAGUCCGAUGCUUUACAGACUGAGUCAUCAAGGUGCCCCAAGACUGAUGAUUCUGAGCCUGGCCCCAUAUAGAAACUGAGGUGGAGGAAAACUCGGGCUGUUCUCUAAAUAGCUUCGUGCUCCUGCCAUCUGCUGCCAGGCAGUCAGGAAAGAAAGCAUCAUUGCAGUUUCCUGCAGGAGCUGUCAGAGCUGUGUCCUUGUGCAAAAAUCCUACAAACAAGAUCCUACCUACUUUGCUUCUCUGGCGCUAGAGCUCUCCAGCUCUGCCCCUUACCCAGUCGUGCUAGCAGAUGUUCUCGAAAGUGAAGUCCCCGCAUCCUACGCGCUCCCCGCCACCCCAACGUCCCUCUCUCUUAGGCUCUGAGGGCUGCCCGCCGCCCCGCCCCUGCCGCUCGAACGCCUCUCCCUCAUAGGCCAGAGCUAUCCGUGGUGCCCGGCCCCCGCCUCCUGAACGCGGCUCCCUCAUAGGCCGGAGCUCUCCCCACAGUCCCGCUCCGCGCACUGGUCCCGCCCCUGCGUCCAUUUAAAGAGUCUUCACACGUACCACCCAUCCCCUCCUUGCCGAGUGGCUUGUUUUGUGCGACGCUCCGUAGCUGCUCGUUUCCGCCCACGGCGCGGACUUCUUUAGGUAGAGGGACUUUUGGCCGCCUCGCCGGGCCCAGGCGACAGAGAAAAGAGCCAACGUGCGUGUGCUCCCUAGUGAGACCUCCAGAGGGAAGGGCAGCAGGCCGAGACCCACACAGAACUGAUUUGUACGUCCCCUCAGAAGAAUAUGCCCACACAAUUGAGCACGAGGUUCUGCAUCAAAUUUCAAGAGGUUCAGCUCAUUCUGCCAUGAAAUGUUUUUGACUAGAGGAAUGUUUUACCCAUUAACCCAAGCCCUUGGAAUACAGUCAAGAAGGAAAGCCCUUCACUUCCUUUUUGCAACAUAAAGAGCUUGUUUUUAGUGGCAUAUUGCCAUCAUUGAAAUCAGUGACUUUAAUAAACAUUUUAAGUUGUUUGUUAUGAUGCCCCACAUCGAAAUCCACAUUCUAAAGCAAGGGUUACUUUGUUUACCAAGUAACAGCCAGAAUAUUAUUGAUCCCUGAGGUCUAAUUUUUUCUUUCUUUCUUUUUAAUUUACUUAUUUUGAGAGAGAGGAAGAGAGAAUCCCACGCAUGCUCCAUGCUCAGCCCGGCAUGGGGCUCAAAUCCAUGAACCUUGAGAUCAUGACCUGAGCCGAAACCAAGAGCCUGUUGCUUAACUGACUGAGCCACCUAGGUGCCCCCCUUUAUUUAUUUUUUUAAAGUUUAAGUAAUCUCUGUACACAACAUGGGGCUCGAACUUACAACCUCGAGAUCAAGAAUCACAUGCUCUUUGAACCAGCCAGGUGCCCCCUUCAUGUCUAAUUUUUUUUUUAAUUUUUUUUUUUAAUGUUUAUUUAUUUUUGAGACAGAGAGAGACAGAGCAUGAAUUGGGGAGGGUCAGAGAGAGAGGGAGACACAGAAUCUGAAGCAGGCUCCAGGCCCGACACGGGGCUGCAAUUCACGGACCGUGAGAUCAUGACCUGAGCCGAAGUCGGAUGCUUAACCGACUGAGCCACCCAGGCACCCCUAAUUUUUUUUUUUAAGUUUAUUUAGAGAGCGAGAGUGUGCAUGUGUGUGCAUACAUAGGGAAGGGGCAGAGAGAAUCUCCAGCAGGCUCCACACGGGGAUCCAUCUCACAAACCAUGAGAUCAUGACCUGAGCAGAAAUCAAAAGUCAGGCACUGAACCCACUGAGCCACCUAGGCAUCUCUGAUGUCUAAUGUUAAAUUGAGGUAAGAGGCUUUGUAAAUAUAGGCCCUGACCAUGGUUAAUGAACUGAAUUGCAGUUGAACCUGGUAUAAGGGAUGCCACAGAAACAGGGCCUUUUCUUGGGACCUUUGUUUUACAGCUUUAGGACUUAUUUUUAGUUACCAGGUUUUUAAGCCAUGUCUUACUUUUUUUUUUUUUUGUUUAUUUGAGAGAGCUUGAGAAUGCAUGCAUGCAUGCGAGCUGGGGAGAGACAGAGAGGAAGGUGGAGAGAAUCCCAAGCAGGCUUCCCACUGUCAGCACAGAGCCCAACGCAGGGCUAGUUCACACUAUGAGAUCAUGACCUGAACCAAAGAGUCAGAGGCUUAACCGACUGAGCCACCCAGGCACCCCGAGCAUGGAACUCUUGAUCUUGGGGUCAUGGGUUUGAGCCUCACAUUGGGGGCAGAGUUUACUUAAAAAAAUAAAUAAACUAGGGCACCUUGAUGUUGAUAAAACCAACUGGUUGCCCUAUUUUUCACACUUCAGUGGGGUCAACAUUGUAACAGUCCUACUCCAGUUUGCCCAGAAGUUGUUUUCAGGCAAAUUAGGCCUUGGUACUUAAGCAGAUUCUUGAGAAUCUUUGUAUAAAGGGAAUGUUCUAUUAUCUUCAUAAUUUCAAGUCCAAGAAAUUUCUAAUGAGCAAAAUGAAAAUUACAGCUGGAUGAUAAAAAUGGAACUUGACACUCGAGUUUUUAAAGACCAGGCUGGCAUUUUAUUUUUCUAUUCCCGACACUCAAAUUCAUAGGGGGUGAAUGAUAAUAGAACAUAAUCAAAAUAACAUACAAACACAAUUCAAGAACAUUUAACUAUCUACUGUAGCUGUUCUUUGUAAAAUACAUAAAGGUAAACAGAAA